UGAGAUGCUUCAUUGUCUGAGGACCCUUCCCUCCCCACAGACCUCCAUUUGUGUUUCCUCUGCAGAACGAGGUCGCUCAGUCAUCCCCAGCAGAGAGGCUGCGAAGUUGGAGCAGGGUCGCUGUGACCCAGAGUCCUGAUGCGCUGCCUCGGUGGGACAUGUGGCUUCCUCCCUCAGGCCCCGGGUCUGUUGGCGAGGAGACCGAGGAGCGCCAGCGCUGAUGGCCCCAGCAGACCCAGAUUCUGCAGAUGCGUGACAAACUACCCCCAAGCCCAGCAGCAUUUAAUUUGCUUCUGAAUGCGCAGCCUGGCGGGCAGCUAACGGUGUCUGCCACUUCUCCCCUUGAUGGACGUCUGGGAAGACCGCGCGGUACAGCAUCCUGUUGGACGGAGAAUGAGGGGGAUCACUGCUUGUGUUAGAAUCCCAGUCUGCUCCCAGUGUAAACCAAACCAAGACCACCAAGCUUACACCUGGAAGGUAGGGCUUCCAGUUAGCGUUCCGCCAUGCCAUGCGGAGGUUGGACGUGGCCACGGCCCCACUCACAAGAGGAAGGCGGACCUGGGAAGCCUGGCACUUUUCUUAGACCCAUCAGAGAAUGGAGGGCCAGCAAACUGUCAGCACAAAGUGUGGAUAAGCAGACAGCAUAGGGUAUCACCGCCAAGUCACCAGGAGCCAGUCACUGGGAGGAGCACUUGAAUGGUAAUCUUGAUAAAUGGCCUGAGGCUGAGUGUGAACCAGCUGGGGAUGUGGAAAACUGCAGGGAAUCUGAGUCUCAGGAGGAGCCUCACACUUGCAGGACCCUUCACUUCUAGGAGCCCAGCACAUUCUCAAAGAUCAAAGAAAAAUAUCCUCAUGCUUCAGGAAAUAAAAGGGAGGAAAUAACCAUUUUUAAGCAUGCCCAGGGGGAAAAUAAAGAUUAAGAAAUAUACCCAAAGCAUUCGUCAUCACAAAGGCCUUCCCGCCAAAGGAAACUACUUUGAGAGCCUUAUCUGACCAUCGGAGGGAAAUGAGGUUAAAGCUGGCCCUCUGUAGCCUUCCUGUCUCAAGUAAGGCAAGAAAAAGUGAUCUAAGAUCAUGAUCUUGAAGGUGGUAGGUCUGGGACUCUGGCACUAAUAUCACAGAGGACUUCCCUCUCCAAACCCUGAUCACCUCGUCAACAGGUUCCAGAAUAAUAACAGCAGGUGGAGAUGGGGAGAGCCACAGACAGACUUUAUUUAAGAAGGAGUCCUUCAGGAAACUCAGACAGAAAGAGAAGGGGAAGAUAAACAAGGAGCAAGCUGAAGCCCCGGGCAACUCUGGCCAUAGCAAACAUCACUCACAGCCCAGUUCCUAGCCAGAGUAACAUAAAACCUCACUCUAGAGUCCUAAUCGUCUCAGUUCCUAUUGCUCAAUUCAUCACAUCUGGCUUCCAGCAAAAAAAAAUUACAAAAUCUGCUGAAGGCAAGAAAGACACAGUCUGUGGAGGAAACCACAACCAGAUCCAGACUCAUUAAUGACACUGAUUUCUGGAAUGACCAGGUAUGGAUUUAAAAACAACUCCCAUUAAUGUGCAGUGGAAAGGUCAAAUGGAAGCUGAAUGUGCAAACAAACAAAAAAAUAUACAUAGAAACUAAGAAAGUACCAGAGGAAAUGCUAGAAAUUGAAAAAAAAAAAAGAAAUAGGAGAAAUGAAGAAUCUCUUUGAUGGAUACAUCCAUUUGAGCUUGAAGCGAUGUCAUUAGACAAUUCCUAAACUGAAAUGCAAAAAGAAAAAGAAUAAACAAACGGAUCAAAGUAUCCAUGGGUCAAUCACAUACAUUACCUAUAAAGUGUUAUAUAUGUGUCAUGAAAAUACCAGAAGGAGAAGAAAAUGAGAAAAGAACAGAAGUAGCUGAAAUAUUAAUAGCUGAGAAUUUUCCAAAUUAAUGACAAACACCAAUCAAUAGAUCCAGGAAACUCCAAGAAUACCAUGCAGGAAAAUGUACUGAAAUGUCUACAGCCUGGAAUAUUAUAUUUAAAACUACAGAAAACUAAAACAAAGGCAAACCAAACUUGAAGGGGUAAUGGAGUCACACCAAAAAACAUCUUUCUUAAAGAGGAAAGACUUGUCUAGGUAAACAAGAGAGACCUGAGUGAAUUAUUGAAAGUGUUGAA
Molecule: long non-coding RNA, 2132 nt
Organism: Sciurus carolinensis (gray squirrel)
Lineage: Eukaryota; Metazoa; Chordata; Mammalia; Rodentia; Sciuridae
Exons: 3
Source: RefSeq, a predicted model, not a curated record